UCAAGUGUGUGUUGGAGUUCCAACACUUGAUUAAUAAGUCGUGUUUUUUCCUCCAGUUCCACCUGAUUUUCAGCAUCAACUGCUUACAUGUCAGGAUUCAUCUCUU
Molecule: long non-coding RNA, 106 nt
Organism: Myotis davidii
Lineage: Eukaryota; Metazoa; Chordata; Mammalia; Chiroptera; Vespertilionidae
Exons: 3
Source: RefSeq, a predicted model, not a curated record